RNAcentral lists this unclassified non-coding RNA (352 nucleotides) under soil metagenome. RNAcentral describes it as "partial contains 5.8S ribosomal RNA, internal transcribed spacer 2, and large subunit ribosomal RNA". The stretch from base 1 to 120 matches the Rfam family "5.8S ribosomal RNA", at positions 35 to 154 of the family's 154-position model. The record is from RNAcentral.
GAUGAAGAACGUAGCGAAAUGCGAUAAGUAAUGUGAAUUGCAGAAUUCAGUGAAUCAUCGAAUCUUUGAACGCACAUUGCGCCCGCCAGUAUUCUGGCGGGCAUGCCUGUUCGAGCGUCAUUACAACUCUCAGGCCCCCGGGCCUGGCGUUGGGGAUCGGCGGAGCCCCCCGUGGGCACACGCCGUCCCCCAAAUACAGUGGCGGUCCCGCCGCAGCUUCCAUCGCGUAGUAGCUAACACCUCGCGACUGGAGAGCGGCGCGGCCACGCCGUAAAACACCCAACUCUUCUGAAGUUGACCUCGAAUCAGGUAGGAAUACCCGCUGAACUUAAGCAUAUCAAUAAGCGGAGGA